This 1369-nucleotide long non-coding RNA is filed under the name Homo sapiens (human). RNAcentral describes it as "non-protein coding lnc-ITGB1BP1-1:1". The record is from RNAcentral. Lineage: Eukaryota; Metazoa; Chordata; Mammalia; Primates; Hominidae.
GUGCGCGCCAACCGCCCCCCGCCCACGGCGCGGAGCACCUCUGGGCUCCCCACUUGAACGGCGGGCCGCGCCGGCCCAUGAGGAAAGCGGGGUGCGGAGCUCGCCCCCUGCCGGAGGAUGCGCUCCGCCGGCGGGCACCCUGCGGGGACCACAGCCGGACGCCAGAAGUGACCUGACCGUGAAUGUGCGCUUUGCGUGCAGUCAUUGCAUCGUCGCAGGCCUAGGAGACAGAUGAAGAGAUGGCUCUUAAGGAAAUUCUCGGUUAUACUGAAAAAUCCAGAAGCUCUGAAGAUACCAGUCAAAUAAAAUCACACCCUAUAACUCUACACCAGACUUGUGGCAUGGUUUCUGUAGCUGCCAGCGGUAAAACCAAGAGAAACUUUACAAAAACCUUUUGUGCAUCUGAAAAGGAGGAAGUGUGAGAGACACUGGAAAUUCAAUAUGUCAGACAAAGCCGUCUCCUGACACUGCAGGACAGUAGACCAGUCAAACAAUCUUUUUAAAGCCCCCAUGUAAGAAGUUGCUAUAUGAGGUGGCAGCUUGGGUCAGACAUUAUGUAUGGCCUUUGGUAUUUUAGUAGCACUGCAUGUAAAAUUUAACUUUCUAAAAUCGCUGUAUUCGUGGAUAGCUUUUAUCAUUGCACUAGACAACAAGUUACAAUUUAAAAAUUGUAUCUGUUUCUUUUUAUGUUUUUUGAUCCUUUUGGUGUCUGAAGUUUUCCUCUAUUUGCAACCUUCUACAAUUCAUGUUUUGUGUUUAUUAUUUAUAUUAAUACAUCCUCUCCAACACCAGGCAGAUUCUGUUCCCGCCUACCUAGUUUCCCAGCUACAGUUUUUGACAUGAGGGAAUAUGCUGAAUAACUUUUCAAGUCUUGAUUUGUAGAGGGCUGGUCUCUAUGAGGCUAUGAGGGAUCUAAGAAAGAAAGUCGGGUUUUUCCUUGAUGUCUAGUACAGCAUUAACCAGACUAAUCAAUACUUCUACAAGGACAAAGUUAAGCUUGGUAUUCUCUGUUCUCUCUUUAUAUACAACUCCGGUUCUUGUUUCUUUUAGUUUAAUUUUGCAGAUACAGGAAGCUUUAGUAGCCUCAAAAAAAUAAAAUUGCAAAGCUGUGUUGCAUUGCAAGGCUGGUGGAAAACAACAAUUAGUUACCAAGUUCAUUGGUGGCCUAAAGAGGAUACCAAAUUGGUAGAAUGCUAGAGCCAUUUAUUCCUCCAUCAUCCCUUAGAAAUCUAACUUGCCUACUGCAUAAGCCUAGAAUUAAAGCAAGACCAGAGCAAAACAUAGCUAAUGCCUUUCUGAGAUUAAUAUAAGAAUGAGUAGCUUCCAAUAAAUAACAAUAAAAUUAAAGUUCAACAUGGAUCAAGGAAAC